GAGAAAAAGGAAAAAAAACCUUUAUUCCCUGCUCUGUGAUAAGAAGAUGUUGCAAUCUCGAUGGGUUAGCCUCUAGGAUCUAUCAGGCUCAUCAUCCAUGACCGGAAGUGGCAUCGAUAUGAUGGAUCAUCAUCUCAUAAAAAAAUAAAUACAAAAACUGAAAAGGUUUUAGGGUUGAAUCAGCAUGGAUAGAGAUGGGGUUACGAGAAUUCCUCUAAUAAAUCAUUUUCAGAUCAUGACUUGCUGUUUCUCUCUCUAGAUUCUCCCCCAUUCCAUGGCGAUGGAGAUCAAAGAAUGAG
RNAcentral lists this long non-coding RNA (299 nucleotides) under Amborella trichopoda. Its description in RNAcentral is "long non-coding RNA (ATRI_LNC004017)". The record is from RNAcentral. Lineage: Eukaryota; Viridiplantae; Streptophyta; Magnoliopsida; Amborellales; Amborellaceae.